GACGAAUUGUCCUAACGUUGUUCGGAAUCACUGGGCUUAAAGGGCGCGUAGGCGGUCCGACAAGUCAGGGGUGAAAUCCUGCAGCUUAACUGCAGAAGUGCCUUUGAUACUGUCGGUCUUGAGGGAGAUAGGGGUGUGCGGAACUCACAGUGGAGCGGUGAAAUGCGUUGAUAUUGUGAGGAACGCCGGAGGCGAAAGCGGCGCACUGGAUCUCUUCUGACGCUGAGGCGCGAAAGCUAGGGGAGCAAACGGG
RNAcentral lists this ribosomal RNA (253 nucleotides) under uncultured bacterium. RNAcentral describes it as "partial 16S ribosomal RNA". It matches the Rfam family "Bacterial small subunit ribosomal RNA", at positions 524 to 776 of the family's 1533-position model. The record is from RNAcentral.